GACGAACGCUGGCGGCGUGCCUAAUACAUGCAAGUCGAGCGAAUCAAUAGGAGCUUGCUCCUGAUGGUUAGCGGCGGACGGGUGAGUAACACGUGGGCAACCUGCCUGUAAGACUGGGAUAACACCGGGAAACCGGUGCUAAUACCGGAUAAUCCUUUUCCUCUCAUGAGGAAAAGCUGAAAGUCGGUUUCGGCUGACACUUACAGAUGGGCCCGCGGCGCAUUAGCUAGUUGGUGAGGUAACGGCUCACCAAGGCGGCGAUGCGUAGCCGACCUGAGAGGGGGAUCGGCCACAUUGGGACUGAGACACGGACCAGACUCCUACGGGAGGCAGCAGUAGGGAAUCUUGCGCAAUGGACGAAAGUCUGAUGGAGCAACGCCGCGUGAGCGAUGAAGGCCUUCGGGUCGUAAAGCUCUGUUGUUAGGGAAGAACAAGUACCGGAGUAACUGCCGGUACCUUGACGGUACCUAACCAGAAAGCCACGGCUAACUACGUGCCAGCCGCCGCCGUAA
Molecule: ribosomal RNA, 512 nt
Filed under: uncultured bacterium
Lineage: Bacteria
Description: partial 16S ribosomal RNA
Rfam family: Bacterial small subunit ribosomal RNA
Source: RNAcentral